UACGAAGGGGGCUAGCGUUGUUCGGAAUUACUGGGCGUAAAGCGUAUGCAGGCGGAUCGUUAAGUCGGUGGUGAAAUCCUGGAGCUCAACUCCAGAACUGCCUUCGAUACUGGGAAGCUCGAGUCCGGGAGAGGUGAGUGGAACUGCGAGUGUAGAGGUGAAAUUCGUAGAUAUUCGCAAGAACACCAGUGGCGAAGGCGGCUCACUGGCCCGGUACUGACGCUGAGGUGCGAAAGCGUGGUGAGCAAACAGG
RNAcentral lists this ribosomal RNA (253 nucleotides) under uncultured bacterium. RNAcentral describes it as "partial 16S ribosomal RNA". It matches the Rfam family "Bacterial small subunit ribosomal RNA", at positions 524 to 776 of the family's 1533-position model. The record is from RNAcentral.